UGCAUCGGCUGGGAAUCGAACCCGGCCCGCCCGGGUGGCAGGCGAGCAUUCUCGCCGCUGAACUACCUAUGC
Non-coding RNA from Cordylochernes scorpioides, 72 nucleotides. Lineage: Eukaryota; Metazoa; Arthropoda; Arachnida; Pseudoscorpiones; Chernetidae. The record is from the annotation of a GenBank genome assembly.